GAUGAAGAACGUAGCGAAAUGCGAUAAGUAAUGUGAAUUGCAGAAUUCAGUGAAUCAUCGAAUCUUUGAACGCACAUUGCGCCCAUUAGUAUUCUAGUGGGCAUGCCUGUUCGGGCGUCAUUAAGUCCACUUAAGCCCUGCUUAGUGUUGGGAGACUGCUCCAGCGGUGCUACCCUGUAGCUACCCUGCAGCUCCUCAAAGACAGCGGCGGAGUUGUGGUAUCCUCUGAGCUUAGUAACUUGUUCUAGCUUUCGAGUACACCACUUCCCCUGCCGUAAAACCCUUAAUUUUUAAUGGUUGACCUCGGAUCAGGUAGGAAUACCCGCUGAACUUAAGCAUAUCAAUAAGCGGAGGA
This 355-nucleotide unclassified non-coding RNA is filed under the name soil metagenome. RNAcentral describes it as "partial contains 5.8S ribosomal RNA, internal transcribed spacer 2, and large subunit ribosomal RNA". The stretch from base 1 to 120 matches the Rfam family "5.8S ribosomal RNA", at positions 35 to 154 of the family's 154-position model. The record is from RNAcentral.